UACGUAGGUGGCGAGCGUUGUCCAGAUUUACUGGGCGUAAAGGGAGCGUAGGCGGACUUUUAAGUGAGAUGUGAAGUACUCGGGCUCAACUUGAGUGCUGCAUUUCAAACUGGAAGUCUAGAGUGCAGGAGAGGAGAAUGGAAUUCCUAGUGUAGCGGUGAAAUGCGUGGAGAUUAGGAAGAACACCAGUGGCGAAGGCGAUUCUCUGGACUGUGACUGACGCUGAGGCUCGAAAGCGUGGGGAGCAAACAGG
This 253-nucleotide ribosomal RNA is filed under the name uncultured bacterium. RNAcentral's name for it is "partial 16S ribosomal RNA". It matches the Rfam family "Bacterial small subunit ribosomal RNA", at positions 524 to 776 of the family's 1533-position model. The record is from RNAcentral.